Molecule: ribosomal RNA, 429 nt
Filed under: uncultured bacterium
Lineage: Bacteria
Description: bacterial SSU rRNA
Rfam family: Bacterial small subunit ribosomal RNA
Source: RNAcentral
UGGGGAAUUUUGGACAAUGGGGGCAACCCUGAUCCAGCCAUUCCGCGUGAGUGAAGAAGGCCUUCGGGUUGUAAAGCUCUUUUGUCGGGGACGAAACGGUUUUGGCUAAUAACCAGGACUACUGACGGUACCCGAAGAAUAAGCACCGGCUAACUACGUGCCAGCAGCCGCGGUAAUACGUAGGGUGCGAGCGUUAAUCGGAAUUACUGGGCGUAAAGCGUGCGCAGGCGGUUGUAUAAGCCAGAUGUGAAAUCCCCGGGCUCAACCUGGGAAUGGCAUUUGGGACUGUACGGCUGGAGUGUGGCAGAGGAGACUGGAAUUCCUGGUGUAGCAGUGAAAUGCGUAGAUAUCAGGAGGAAUACCGAUGGCGAAGGCAGGUCUCUGGGCUGACACUGACGCUCAUGCACGAAAGCGUGGGGAGCAAACAGG